ACUCAAAUGAAUUGACGGGGGCCCGCACAAGCGGUGGAGCAUGUGGUUUAAUUCGAUGCUACGCGAAAAACCUUACCCGGGCUUGAAAUCCCGCGCUACCUGGUGAAAGUCAGGGUUCCCUUCGGGGACGCGGUGACAGGUGCUGCAUGGCUGUCGUCAGCUCGUGUUGUGAGAUGUUGGGUUAAGUCCCGCAACGAGCGCAACCCUCGCCAUUAGUUACCAGCAUUAAGUUGGGGACUCUAAUGGGACCGCUGGCCUAUAAGGCAGAGGAAGGUGGGGAUGACGUCAAGUCCUCAUGGCCCUUAUGUCCGGGGCUACACACGUGCUACAAUGGGAGGCACAAAUCGCUGCCAACUCGUAAGAGUGAGCUAAUCGCAAAAAUCCUCCCACAGUUCGGAUUGAGGUCUGCAACUCGACCUCAUGAAGCUGGAAUCGCUAGUAAUCGCGGAUCAGAACGCCGCGGUGAAUACGUUCCCGGGCCUUGUACACACCGCCCGU
This 498-nucleotide ribosomal RNA is filed under the name uncultured bacterium. Its description in RNAcentral is "partial 16S ribosomal RNA". It matches the Rfam family "Bacterial small subunit ribosomal RNA", at positions 899 to 1397 of the family's 1533-position model. The record is from RNAcentral.